RNAcentral lists this ribosomal RNA (217 nucleotides) under Tetradesmus obliquus. Its description in RNAcentral is "partial 28S ribosomal RNA". It matches the Rfam family "Eukaryotic large subunit ribosomal RNA", at positions 1 to 225 of the family's 3401-position model. The record is from RNAcentral. Lineage: Eukaryota; Viridiplantae; Chlorophyta; Chlorophyceae; Sphaeropleales; Scenedesmaceae.
CGACCUGAGCUCAGGCAAGGCUACCCGCUGAACUUAAGCAUAUCAAUAAGCGGAGGAAAAGAAACUAACAAGGAUGCGCUUAGUAACGGCGAGCGAACCGCGCAAAGCCCAACUUGAAAAUCUCCCUUGGAGAAUUGUAGUCUAUAGAAGUACCCUCUGUAACGGGCGCAGCUCAAGUCUCCUGGAAAGGGGCGUCAGAGAGGGUGAGAACCCCGUA